RNAcentral lists this transfer RNA (73 nucleotides) under Deltaproteobacteria bacterium. Its description in RNAcentral is "tRNA-Pro". It matches the Rfam family "tRNA". From Rfam's summary of the family: Transfer RNA (tRNA) molecules are approximately 80 nucleotides in length. Lineage: Bacteria; Pseudomonadati; Myxococcota; Myxococcia. The record is from RNAcentral.
CAGAGUGUAGCGCAGCUGGUCGCGCGCCUGCCUUGGGAGCAGGAGGACGCGGGUUCGAAUCCCGCCACUCUGA